UGGGGAAUCUUGCGCAAUGGGCGAAAGCCUGACGCAGCGAUGCCGCGUGAGGGAAGAAGGCCUUCGGGUUGUAAACCCCUUUCAGGAGGGACGAAGGUGCGACGGUGAAUAGCCGCUCGCACUGACGGUACCUCCACAAGAAGCCCCGGCUAACUACGUGCCAGCAGCCGCGGUAAUACGUAGGGGGCAAGCGUUGUCCGGAAUCAUUGGGCGUAAAGCGCGCGUAGGCGGCCCGGUAAGUCCGCUCUGAAAGUCCAGGGCUCAACCCUGGAAAGCGGGUGGAUACUGCCGGGCUAGAAUCCGGAAGAGGCGAGUGGAAUUCCUGGUGUAGCGGUGGAAUGCGCAGAUAUCAGGAGGAACACCAAUAGCGAAGGCAGCUCGCUGGGACGGUAUUGACGCUAAGGCGCGAAAGCGUGGGGAGCAAACAGGAUUAGAUACCCUGGUAGUCCACGCCGUAAACGAUGGGCACUAGGUGUGGGAGGUGUCGACUCCUCCCGUGCCGACGCUAACGCAUUAAGUGCCCC
This 524-nucleotide ribosomal RNA is filed under the name uncultured bacterium. Its description in RNAcentral is "bacterial SSU rRNA". It matches the Rfam family "Bacterial small subunit ribosomal RNA", at positions 355 to 870 of the family's 1533-position model. The record is from RNAcentral.